Stylophora pistillata is the source of this 1189-nucleotide long non-coding RNA. The record is from RefSeq and is a predicted model, not a curated record. NCBI's taxonomy places the organism in Eukaryota, Metazoa, Cnidaria, Anthozoa, Scleractinia, Pocilloporidae.
AAUAAAGAAAAAAGUCUCAUCAGUUAUUAUAUUUUUGUUAUGAUUCAUUUCGAUUGGUAAUUUAAAACAGAAAGUAGUAGUGACAGUGACAUUACUUGGAGUGAAUACAUAACAUUGUCCUUUGCUGCCUUUAAACUUCUUUCACCACAAAAUGUUUUAAGCUAUGCUUCACUUUCAGAUACAAAUUAUAAUUUGCUGAGAAUUUUGGGUUGUAAUUAAGAAAGUCACAUGUCUUUGUGAAAUUUUUUCGUGGUUACUGAUUCUCUUUUAAUGUAACUGCAAAACAGUCUGUGACUGGUUUAAGGAAUGAGUAGAGCAAUAGUGUAGAGCAAAUGUAAAAUACAUUUAAAAUUACAUAAUUAUAUAUGGAGUAUCUUUGUCCUUUAAGACUGUUUAUCACCUUCUGAGUAACUGAGGAUUCUGUGAGAGCAGGAAAGUACUUCAGCUGGCUUUUAGUAUUAAUAAGUCUCAAGGGCCCAAAUAAUUUUUUUUUUUUGUGGGAAAUAUACUGUACUAUCAAGGUGCUGAGGAUAAUGACAUUCUUAACAUUGUACUGUAGUCUGAUUUUCUGGGCGAGUGUAGUCCUUAGAAGGACUGUUGUGACUGAUAAUAAUUAUUCACUUGACUCUGAUGAUGACUUAUGCUCAGGUUGUCAAAUCGUCAGUCACUGAUAUUGACAACAGUCUUUGUCAGGACUACACUGCCCUAGACAAUCAGACUAAACUUUCACAUGUUACCCUCAGGUUCAAAUCAUUUACUGUAUUCCUGAAAUUGUAAUCAUGUUCCUUAAGGUUCCUAGACUAGACACAGCACACAUAGAGGAGGCAUCGCACUGGGUAACACUGGAGUGUCCUUUAGAGUUGAACAGAAUCAUGGUGGAUUGGUUGAACAAAAUUCAUGCAAUGCAACCUGAUUCAUCCAAGUUGUAACACAAAUAUGAUAUGAGAAUAUUUGUUGAUCUGUGACAAAGAAAAUUGACAGCACAUCUGUUGGUGGAAGAAACUUUCAUUGUUAUUUCCUUGUAGCACAACCUGAUUCAUGCAAGUUAAAGUUUGUUGCAUAUUGUGGAAAUGGCCAGGUGGUUGGUUGCAAAGAAAUAGGAUCACUUCUUAAGGCAAAAACCAUAGGUUCUUCUUCGACACUCUUGAUCAAGUAGUUCAAAUAUUUGAAAUAAAAAAGAAAAGUUGAA